Molecule: transfer RNA, 73 nt
Filed under: Stegodyphus mimosarum
Lineage: Eukaryota; Metazoa; Arthropoda; Arachnida; Araneae; Eresidae
Rfam family: tRNA
About the family: Transfer RNA (tRNA) molecules are approximately 80 nucleotides in length. Their secondary structure includes four short double-helical elements and three loops (D, anti-codon, and T loops).
Source: Rfam by way of RNAcentral
GCCCUCGUGGCGUAGUGGUCAGCACUUUCGACUCGUAUUCGAGAGGUCCAUGGUUCGAGUCCCGGUGAGAGCA